Molecule: ribosomal RNA, 592 nt
Filed under: bacterium enrichment culture clone MF2
Lineage: Bacteria
Description: bacterial SSU rRNA
Rfam family: Bacterial small subunit ribosomal RNA
Source: RNAcentral
AAUUCGCCCUUACUCCUACGGGAGGCAGCAGUGAGGAAUAUUGGACAAUGGAUGGAAAUCUGAUCCAGCCAUGCCGCGUGCAGGAAGACGGCCCUAUGGGUUGUAAACUGCUUUUAUAUGGGAGCAAUAAGGCCUACGUGUAGGUUGAUGAGAGUACCAUAUGAAUAAGCACCGGCUAACUCCGUGCCAGCAGCCGCGGUAAUACGGAGGGUGCAAGCGUUAUCCGGAUUUAUUGGGUUUAAAGGGUGCGUAGGCGGUUUGAUAAGUCAGCGGUGAAAUAUUUCAGCUUAACUGGAAGGGUGCCGUUGAUACUGUCAGGCUUGAAUUUAGUUGCUGUGGGUGGAAUGUGUGGUGUAGCGGUGAAAUGCAUAGAUAUCACACAGAAUAUCGAUUGCGAAGGCAGCUCACAAAGCUAACAUUGACGCUGAUGCACGAAAGUGUGGGGAUCAAACAGGAUUAGAUACCCUGGUAGUCCACACUGUAAACGAUGAUAACUCGCUGUCGGCGAUACAUAGUCGGUGGCCAAGCGAAAGCGAUAAGUUAUCCACCUGGGGAGUACGACCGCAAGGUUGAAACUCAAAGGAAUUGACGG